CAUUGAUGCCUGUUUCCUUCUAGAAAAACCUAAGCUGCCUUCACUAUGCAGCCCUCAGUGGCUCGGAGGAUGUGUCUCGGGUCCUCAUCCACGCAGGAGGCUGCGCCAACGUGGUUAAUCAUCAGGGUGCCUCUCCUCUGCACCUCGCUGUGAGGCACAACUUCCCUGCCUUGGUCCGGCUCCUCAUCAACUCCGACAGUGACGUGAAUGCCAUGGACAAUAGGCAGCAGACGCCCCUUCACCUGGCUGCAGAGCACGCCUGGCAGGACAUAGCAGAGAUGCUCCUCAUUGCUGGGGUUGACUUAAACCUGAGAGAUAAGGUACCUCUGCUUACAACCCACCUCGCUUCAGGCUUUCAUGGCUCCCCCUUUGCCAGAGACCCUGCUACGAAUGCCCCCUCCCUCCUCCCUCUCAGGGUGUUCAAGGACUGUCAUCCUUUCUAUACCAGCUCAAAUGCAGCCUCCUCCAGGAAGCCUUCCUGACCUUCCACCACC
Molecule: small RNA, 494 nt
Filed under: Pan troglodytes (chimpanzee)
Lineage: Eukaryota; Metazoa; Chordata; Mammalia; Primates; Hominidae
Description: retained intron
Source: RNAcentral